RNAcentral lists this ribosomal RNA (168 nucleotides) under marine snow associated bacterium Adriatic7. RNAcentral describes it as "partial 16S ribosomal RNA". It matches the Rfam family "Bacterial small subunit ribosomal RNA", at positions 303 to 489 of the family's 1533-position model. The record is from RNAcentral.
AUCAGCCACACUGGGACUGAGACACGGCCCAGACUCUACGGGAGGCAGCAGUGGGGAAUAUUGCACAAUGGGCGCAAGCCUGAUGCAGCCAUGCCGCGUGAGUGAUGAAGGCCUUAGGGUUGUAAAAUUCUUUCGCCAGGGAUGAUAAUGACAGUACCUGGUAAAGAA